ACUUUAGGGUUAAAAUGCAAUGUAGAUGCUCAAACCCAUGGUUCCCUGACAUGGCUCAGCUGACUCAAGUUCCACUAACCCUAGUCUUACAUUGUUGUUUAGACAUAGCCUAAGAGGCUGCUUAAGGGCCCCCCAGGCUCAACCAUGUGAUUCAAAAUGGAAACUCCUAACAGCAAGCAGGUUCUGACAGCUUCUUCUGGAACCAGAAAGUACCCGGGACAUUGGAGGUGAUUCUUUCUUGAACACAGUGCCCCUGUAAGAACUCUGCCAAUACAGAUGUCGCAAAGAGACGUUUAUGACUUCAAGUGAUGAAUACACAGCAGGAGCAGAACUCCUUGGGACCAGGAAUAGCAAGGAGCAUUAAGAUGGCAACAACGGUGUGCGGCUGGGACUCUGAGGCAGUGAUGGGUAUAUCUGAGAUGGGCAACUCAUCUUUAGUAAUAUACUUUCAGGCACAGUGGAUGCUAUGCACAGAUGCGAGGCCCGGGACCUUCAACUCUCUGGCUGAUUGGGAGCCUUCGAGGAGGACCACUGGGGAGUCCUGACAACUGGUGGACUUUGUCGCAGGCGGGGAAACCCUCUGGGAUGAUGGACACCAGGAAAGCUGCAGGAUUCCCUCACAGCAAUCGCCAAAGCAACAAACCUUCAUCCUGCCAGAAAGAGAAACUCAUCUCGCAUCCGCCUCUUCCCCCCACCCCCCAAAGGCCAUGGUCAAUGCUACUCUGUGGAUCAGCUGCCAGAGGAUGUUGUCAGAAAAGGACAGCUCACACCCAGUUAUGUUUGCCAGUUGGUUGCUAAAUAUAACAGGAUAAUAUUUUUUUAACUCAAAUGGUAAAUGGGUAUCGUUUCUCUUUACAUUUCUGAUAUCUUUCACCAUGUGUCUCCUUCCAAAGGAAACAUUGUAGAGUUGUACAAGUGUCUUGCUAUGAUAUUAUAUUCUAAGGACAGUAUAGGAAAAUAUUUUAUUUUUACUUCGGUGAAGUCAACAUUGUGAUAAAAGUAAAUAUUUCUUGUUAAGGUCACCUAUGGUAGUCUUUGUUCAUCUGUUUUGUAAAAGAAAUAAAGAGCUCUUUCUUUACAUAGCCAUGCAUAGUGAUCUCUAUCUUCGUCUCCCUUGUUAAAUGUAAACCUCAGUAGACUAUUGGCUAUUUUGAGUGUCCUGUACAUUUAAUACACAAGCUAUUGUUAGGGAAACAAUCUUACCUUUCUGGAAUACAGUGUGUGGGAGUUGAGUAAAAUGUGUUGGUGGUAUCAGUGCAAUAAACUGU
Long non-coding RNA from Chelonia mydas (Green sea turtle), 1268 nucleotides. RefSeq lists it as uncharacterized. The transcript is spliced from 5 exons. The record is from RefSeq and is a predicted model, not a curated record. Lineage: Eukaryota; Metazoa; Chordata; Testudines; Cheloniidae.